GACGAACGCUGGCGGCGUGCUUAACACAUGCCAGUCGAACGGAAAGGCCCUUCGGGGUCCUCGAGUGGCGAACGGGUGAGUAACACGUGGGUGAUCUGCCCUGCACUUUGGGAUAAGCCUGGGAAACUGGGUCUAAUACCGAAUAUGAUCAUCGGCUUCAUGGUCGGUGGUGGAAAGCUUUUGCGGUGUGGGAUGGGCCCGCGGCCUAUCAGCUUGUUGGUGGGGUAAUGGCCUACCAAGGCGACGACGGGUAGCCGGCCUGAGAGGGUGACCGGCCACACUGGGACUGAGAUACGGCCCAGACUCCUACGGGAGGCAGCAGUGGGGAAUAUUGCACAAUGGGCGCAAGCCUGAUGCAGCGACGCCGCGUGAGGGAUGACGGCCUUCGGGUUGUAAACCUCUUUCAGCACAGACGAAGCGCAAGUGACGGUAUGUGCAGAAGAAGGACCGGCCAACUACGUG
This 462-nucleotide ribosomal RNA is filed under the name uncultured bacterium. RNAcentral describes it as "partial 16S ribosomal RNA". It matches the Rfam family "Bacterial small subunit ribosomal RNA", at positions 28 to 507 of the family's 1533-position model. The record is from RNAcentral.